Molecule: small RNA, 434 nt
Filed under: Candidatus Omnitrophota bacterium
Lineage: Bacteria; Pseudomonadati; Candidatus Omnitrophota
Description: transfer-messenger RNA
Rfam family: transfer-messenger RNA
About the family: Bacterial tmRNA, also known as 10Sa RNA or SsrA, is named for its dual tRNA and mRNA-like properties. Its role is to liberate the mRNA from a stalled ribosome.
Source: RNAcentral
GGGGGUGAAAGGUUUCGACUUAGACGAGUUGGGUAUCAGUGGCAUGCCGCGGACGCAGGGAAGGCCGCGAUAACAAACCUUGCAAAAGUCAAACGCUAAAAACGAGAAUGAUCGUUUAUUAAAAACAGUUGAGGGUUAUGUUGCUCCAUUUUUUGUUGCAACACCCCGCCCUGUUUUUACAGCGCCAGUCUUCGCUCACUAAUCUGAGCGAAGCCCCUUACCGUUUAGCCUAAGAAACGGCGUAGGGCAAAUUAGAUAGGCUGGUUUCCUGCCCUGCCCUGGGACAGGGAAUGAGAGCUAUAAAAGGGAUGACCCUUAGGGAAUCACGGUUAUCGGAGGCCCUGAGGAUGACGGUUAAAAAGGUAACCUACGCAUUGUAGAGGCUGGUAUUUGACUGUUUGAGGACGCGAGUUCGAUUCUCGCCACCUCCACCA